GACGAACGCUGGCGGCGUGCUUAACACAUGCAAGUCGAACGGACAGGCCCUGCUUUUGUGGGGUGCUCGAGUGGCGAACGGGUGAGUAACACGUGAGUAACCUGCCCUUGACUUUGGGAUAACUUCAGGAAACAGGGGCUAAUACCGGAUAGGAGCUCCUGCUGCAUGGUGGGGGUUGGAAAGUUUCGGCGGUUGGGGAUGGACUCGCGGCUUAUCAGCUUGUUGGUGGGGUAGUGGCUUACCAAGGCUUUGACGGGUAGCCGGCCUGAGAGGGUGACCGGCCACAUUGGGACUGAGAUACGGCCCAGACUCCUACGUGAGGCAGCAGUGGGGAAUAUUGCACAAUGGGCGGAAGCCUGAGGCAGCAACGCCGCGUGCGGGAUGACGGCCUUCGGGUUGUAAACCGCUUUCGCCUGUGACGAAGCGUGAGUGACGGUAAUGGGUAAAGAAGCACCGGCUAACUACGUG
Molecule: ribosomal RNA, 468 nt
Filed under: uncultured bacterium
Lineage: Bacteria
Description: partial 16S ribosomal RNA
Rfam family: Bacterial small subunit ribosomal RNA
Source: RNAcentral